RNAcentral lists this ribosomal RNA (429 nucleotides) under bacterium. RNAcentral's name for it is "partial 16S ribosomal RNA". It matches the Rfam family "Bacterial small subunit ribosomal RNA", at positions 355 to 776 of the family's 1533-position model. The record is from RNAcentral.
UAGGGAAUCUUCGGCAAUGGGGGCAACCCUGACCGAGCAACGCCGCGUGAGUGAAGAAGGUUUUCGGAUCGUAAAGCUCUGUUGUAAGAGAAGAACGUGUGUGAGAGUGGAAAGUUCACACAGUGACGGUAACUUACCAGAAAGGGACGGCUAACUACGUGCCAGCAGCCGCGGUAAUACGUAGGUCCCGAGCGUUGUCCGGAUUUAUUGGGCGUAAAGCGAGCGCAGGCGGUUUAAUAAGUCUGAAGUUAAAGGCAGUGGCUUAACCAUUGUUCGCUUUGGAUACUGUUAAACUUGCGUGCAGAAGGGGGGAGUGGAAUUCCAUGUGUAGCGGUGAAAUGCGUAGAUAUAUGGAGGAACGACGGUGGCGAACGCGGCUCUCUGGUCUGUAACUGACGCUGAGGCUCGAAAGCGUGGGGAGCAAACAGG